CUUGAACUGCACUGUGUUUGAUCUCCCGCACGUGGUUGCUGGCUUGGAAGGGAGCAAGAACUUGAACUACCUUGGAGGCGACAUGUUUAAAGGAAUUCCUCCUGCAGAUGCAAUUUUACUCAAGGUAUAUUAACUUGUUUGACCAUUUUUCUGAACUUUGUUUGAGAAAGAGGGAAAAGUAAGAACAAAAAUAUUAAGACAAAAUUUAUAAGUGAAUUUUGCAUCAGCCAUAUUGAGUUAUCACCUUAAUUCUUCUUCCCAUUGUUUGAUUAAAAAGAGAUCAAAUAACCCCAAUUUGUAAAUCUAAUUCCCCAUAUUUCUUCAUGAAAAAUAGUCACUUUUGACAAAAAUUCCAUCAAUUUUUUUCUUGUAAAAAUAAGGUUAUAUUUGGAAGGUGUGUUUUCCAAAAUAAUUUUUAAAAAUUAUUUUCUAAUAUUUCGUAAAAUAAAAGUUCGUUUGAAAAUUUAAAAUAUUUUUAACUUAUGUUUUAUAUUUUUAAAUAUAUUUUAAAAGUAACUUGUAUAUAUAGUGUAUUUUUAAUCAUUUUAAUGUUUAUAUUUUUUUUAAAAAGAAAAUAAGUAAAAAUGACUAAAAAAUUAUUUUCUAAAAAGACCAUAUUUUCUGUUUUUAACAACAUAAAAAUAUUUUCUAUUUUCUAGUUAUUAAAUAGUUUCUUAGGAAUAAAAAUGUUUUAAAAAAUAAUUAGCAUGACCUAAAUUCUAUGUUAAAGCUUAUAAGCAAAUAACUGAAAUAUUGAAGGAAAUUUAUAUAUAUAUAUAUAUAUAUAUAUAUAUAUAUAUAUAUAUAUAUAUACACAUAAAAAAAUAAAAAUAAAAACACAGGAGAGGUUAGAGUAACAAAUUUGGUAUCAUUUCGUAUUAACCCUGAGAAAGAAAUAUAAAAGCAAUUAUAGUUGUAAACCUAUGUUUGGAACGAGCAUGUGGAAGUCGUACAUUUGAUAAUUUAUUGCUGAAAGACGUCAUGGAUGAAGUCAUGGUUUUGAUCCUUAAGAAUCUUCAUGCCAAAUGUAUAGGCAAUAUUGUCAUACAGUUUUAAGGAAAUUAAAGCUUCUAACCCUUUCUUAUCAUGACCCAAAUAACAAGCAGUGGAUAUUACAUGACUGGAACGAUGAAGAAUGUGUCAAGAUACUACAGCAAUGCAGACAGGCGAUUCCAAGCAAGGAGAAGGGAGGCAAGGUGAUAAUAAUAGACAUGAUGAUGGAGAACCAGAAAGGAGAUGAUGAGUCCAUGGAAACACAGCUCUUUUUUGAUAUGCUGAUGAUGAUUUUAGUCACGGGUCAAGAGAGGAACGAAAAAGAAUGGGAGAAGCUGUUCUUGGAUGCUGGUUUCAGUGGCUAUAAGAUAACCCCCAUACUGGGUUUAAGGUCUCUUAUUGAAGUUUAUCCUUGAUCAAUAUCUAGUGGUACUAGUAUUUGCAAGUAUGUUUGCACUAAAUCUAAAUAAAGUGCUCUGGCAAGAAUGUUGGAGAUCAGGACCCUAUCAAGUUUGUGUUCGCAUGCAGGCAUAUUAAUAAUCUUUCUGGGAGUAUGAAGAAUCUCUGUUAAAUAACUUGAUAUUUAACUUGUCUGAUAAUGAAGUAGUGUUUGCUGUAAUAUUGUUUUGCUUUGUGUCGAAUGUUGGGGGAACUUUAAUGAACUUGAAUUUCAGUUGUAGAAAUUUAUCAAAUUAAUAAUUCGUUUAAUAGCGAUUUUAGAAAGUGUUUUUAGUUAAAAAAAUUCUUGUUUCAUAAAAUGUAAGAAACAUUUUUAAAAAUUUUAAAAAUCAUUUCUACUAUUUUUUGAAAAAACACUUGAUAUGAAAUUAUUUGAAAACCAUUUUUAGAUAAACACUUCUACAAAAAACAUCUUGUAUAAAAAUAUUGAUAAAAACACUCUAAGAGUGCAAUUAAAAGUAUUUUUAUUAAAAAUAUUUUUAGUGAAAGUGUUUUAUAUGAAAAUGUUUUUAGAAUAAUCAUAUCUCAAGUGUUUCUCCAAAAAACACUACAAUGAAUUUUACUAACACAUUUUUCAUAUUUUUAAAAAUGUUUUUUAAAUUUUAUCAUACAUCUAAUUUUUUUUCAAAAGCACUUUUUAAAUUAAAAACAUUUGCUUGUUAAUUGAAAAUGAUUCAUUUUGUUUUUUUUCUUAAGAUCCAACCAAACCCACUAUUUGCAUUGGAAAUCGGCAACCAAAAAAAUCUUCUAUCUUCAUAACUAUGGUUUUCCCUGAAAAUAUUAAAAAAAAAUCAUUUUCUUAUAUCAUAAAUAAUAUGAAAAAAUAUCACAUAUACUUAAAACUAGUUAAAAACCUAUAUAUUUUACUUUUACUUUUUCUCUUUACUUUCUCUCUUUCUUAUUUUCCUUCUAAACAUAGUCCCCUCUAUACCUUUGACUAAAGCAACCAUCAACAUAUUAAAAAAAAAAAAAAAGAAUCCUGUUUAGACAUUCUUAUUUUCUCCUUUCUGGUUCUUGAUGAUCACAAUAUCUCAAUCCUCCUUGCUCUGAAUUGCCUCUUUUCAUGGCUUUAGUAUCUUCAUGCCUCCUUGGUCAGUAGCUCCUAGAAGUACUGGUUUGCUGUGAUCCGAUCCACCUAGAUUGCUUUCAGCCCUCAAUGUUCAACGACAAGAUCACAACAUCUUCGGGUCCCUACAGGCACCAAAUAUAUAGCUCUCAGGACAAACUACCAUUUAACUCUGAAACAUAACAUAUAUAUAUAACUUGACACUUGAUUGCCCCUCUAACAGCCAUAGUUGGAAGUUUCUCAUUACAUCUUAUGUCACAUCUAUUAUUUUAUCAAAAAUAUCUAAUUAAAAUGAGGAUUAAGUUUGACUGUUAACAGUGGCAAUCACAUGAAAUGUAAUUUAAACCUCUAACCACAAUUAAUUAAGGUCAUUCGUUAAUUAAAGCCUAUUAGAUUUACCUUAUAAGGUAAAUAUAGUCAAAGUUCAAUUAUGACAAAAUAAGCAUAUACUGAAAAAGACAGAUUCUCAACUUUAGUCUAACAUAGCCAGGCUUAUCACUAAAUAUUACAUCACCUUAGGAGGCCAUACUACAUAAUAGGCAAAGUACUGAAAUGGGCCAAAGAGUGGCCGGAGACCCAAGACUAACAAUUCUUAUUUUUAUGCCACAUAGUUAAGGCCCUGUUUGUUUAGUUUAUUUUCUAUUUUUUUUAAAUAUUAAAAAAUAUAUUUAUAUAUUUAGGCUAUGUUUGAGAAUUAUUUUUGAAAACAAUUUUUUAAAAUAAGUUUUGAAAAUUAUUCUUUGAUUUGUUUUUAACCUAUUUUCUAUAUUUUUUGAAAAUAAUUUUUUUAUCUCUAUUUUUAAUCACUCUCCAUAUUUAUAUAAUUAUUUUUAUUUUCCUUCAUUUUUUCUUUUCUUCUAUUUCAUUUUUUUCCCUCCUAUUUUACCUUCAAUAUUUUGGGACCAAACAUAACCUUAGUCUUUAAUUCCUUCACUCUCCACACCAAGGUUGCCAUCCUAGCUCUAAAAUUCAAGCCUAUUAGAUAAGUUAAAGCUACCACUAGAUUUAACUAUUAUUAUGCUUUUUCCUCUUGGCACUUCCUUAGCGACAAGAUCGUACAAUCAUAAGACACUUUACUUAUAAAGUCUUCACCACACAUGGUUGCAAGAGUUGCUUCAUCCAAGAAGUCAUUCCUUUGUAGAAAUAUGACACUAUCAUCUAGUUAUUAGAGCCAUGACACUAGCAUCUAAUUAUUAGAGCCAUGAUACCGAAAGGAUUCAAUAACCUCCUUGUAUCUCUCCUAGUAUGGCAAGAAUUUCUCAUUCUCAUGAGCCAUGAAGUUUGAAAUCUCUCUUUAAAACAUUUGUGUUAUAAGGCGGAAAAAAACUUAUGUAAAAACACUAACGAAGUUAGCAUAUUAGCAUAUUCAAGCUCCUUAAUACUUCUCGGUCUCAAAGUGUUCAACCAGGUUUUGGCUUGUCCUUCAAAGUCAAAACAAACAACAAACAACUUCAUUCUUAGAAUUUCUAUUAGAACAUUCACCUCUUGAAAAGUGAAACAAAUAUUCUCAACAUCGUUGAUGUGUAUAUGGCUUCUUAUUCCCAUUUUCUCUAAAAAUUGUUGACACUAGCUAGGGGCUUAUAAUGGCAUGUCCUUGUAGAGUGACAAAAUAUGAAGGCCUGCUUACUCUUAGUGGAUUAAUAUGAAAUAUCAUUUAUUUGUAUGCAUUGAACAACAUGAUGUUAGGAUUAUUUUGACUAUGCCGAUCUUCUUAGUUCUCGAUUGGUACUUGGUUUGGAUGCUUAGGAUUUUAGAGUUUGUAUAAUCUAUUUACAUGAUCUCUUAUCUAGCCAAGCAUAAAAUAUCAUAACACAAACUUGCAACAAAUUCCAUAUAUCAAAACUAAAAAAAAAAAAAAAAACUAAAUGAAUAUAAAACAAAAAUACUAAAGAAAAAGAAUAACUAACUUUGCUAAAAUCAACUAAUGUACUCAAAAUAAAUCAAUUACUUUGUCUAAAACAACUCAAAAAGCAUCAAUAACUGGCAAGGACACCAUUUGCUUGACCAAUCUAUCUUAGAUUUAGAUAAAAAUAUGAUUUGCAAUUAGGCAUAAUAGCAUCAAUUAAGGAAAGUAGGCUCUCAUGGAUUACAAUAUGUCAAUUAUUGUUCUCGAGACUAACAUUCUUAGUAUCUUGUUAUUUAAGAUGAAGUAAUUAAUGGACUAAAAAUUUCUAUAAAUACUCAUAUUAAUUAGCCAAAAAUUGAGAUCAUUGUGAAUUAUUAGACAAAUAAAUUUAUGAAUGAAACAAAAAAUCAAUGGAAAAGUAGUUAGAGAAUUUCACAAAUUAGAUAGACUUUGAAUUUAUUGAGAGAAAAUAAGUAAAAAUCUUAGUUUUGGAGAUCCAAAGUCAAUCCAAGAAUAAAUCAAAUAUGAAAAAUGAUUUAAAUCUUAAACUUAGAUUUGAAAAUGUAGACUAGAUCUCCAAAUUAAUUUCUAUUAGAUUAAAUUCAUUACUUUGUUUCUCAUAUUAGCUUUUUAACUAUAGACUCAUUUAGUAGAUUGAUCUCAACUUUGAUAAUAAUAAAUGAAAACAAGUUAUCCAAUGAUAUUUAUAACAUAAUUGGAACCAAGUUAAGCAAUGAUUGUAUCUAAACCAAGAGGAAUUACAUAGAAAAUUUCAAAAUCUCAAUCAACAACUCCAAACAGAGAAUCAAGUAAGAAUUUUCCCAUAUUUCUAUAUUUCCAAAGUGAAUUCUCCAUCUUCCUUGCUACAUUAUUCUCCAUAUCAAAACUCUAACUCAUUAAUGGUAAAAGAAAUUAUUUUUUUAAAAAAAAUUCUUUUUGUCACUUUGUUUGGUUGCAAAGAAAAUAAGAAAAUUCUAGAAUUCGAGAGAAAUAUUUGAUAUUCAAGAGAAAAACCAAAUCUUCCUUUUAAAUUAAUCAUGAUCUCAAUCCCUCUUCGUAUGUUGUUGUUCUUUGUAUUUAUAAUUGUUAUAGUAUGUGACUCAUAUUUGAGCGAAAAGACAUAUAGAGGAAAAUGGGCAAAAUGUUGGAGCGAAGCGAAAUGAGAGCGUAGCGAGGGCAUUUGUCAUUCAGGCUUGUACUUCUUUUGUUAUGGGACGAAUGAUAGGUUGGGGGGUGUGGGGGGCAACGCUUCCCACGAUACGGUUCAAGGGUAUUUUUGGAAUUUCAUUCCUAGGAGUUAGUAUAAAUACCCUUUUAUGUAACCCUAAUUUGAAAUAGUGAAUAUCCUCUUCCUAUGGACACAGGCAAUUAACAGAACCACGUUAAAUCUCCGUGUUCUUCUUUCUCGUUUUUCUAUUUUUUUCGUCAUUAAUCAUUGCAUGGAUUCCAACAAUAACUAACCUAUAUAUAGACAUCAAAAUGGAUACGUUGCAAUCCCUUACUAGCCUUAGCAACCUGUUAUCAAGCUUACAAGCAGCAAAAUGAGAAAUAGUCACUUAACAAAAAUAUAGUCAACAAAUUACACAAUUCCCCAUUUCGAUUUUUGCAGUACCAGGAAUUGAAAUUUCAAUUUACUACCUCUACAUAAAAGUAGCUAUUGGGUUCACUUUAUAGAGCCAUUUCGAUUCCACAUGCCUAAAAGUGAAAGCUUUGAUUUUGUCUAUAGCCAAAUCGAUUUAUAAUAUCCUCCACACUCUCUCAACAUAGAAAUUGAAAUGUGAGAGGGAAAUCAUUUAGAAAAUCAAAAUAGAUAUUUGAAGUGAAAAUCCAAAUGUUUUUGAAAAUAGAUUUGUAAAUUGAAGUCAAAAUUGAAAUGUUUUCUUAUUGCAAAUGCUUCCAAACAUUCCAAAAAUUGUUUCAUCUUUCAUCCAUACACUGUCAUCCCAUGCACUCACUCUUUCACUUUCUUUUUACCUCUUUCAUUCAUUCCCUACUUAUAUUCUUACACAUUUCCCUUCUCUUUUAGGUGAUCUCUAAUCAUCAAACAUGUCCUUUUUACUUCCCAUCAACCUUGCACAUAGUUUCCUUGCAAAACUUUUCAAAAGACUAUUAUUUCCUUUUUUCUUUUUUUUUUUUCUUUGUUGUAUUUUACUCCUCAAAAACAUAUAUCAGCUCCAAUUAGGACUUAGUUCACAUUCAAGGUAAUAAAAAAAUAACUAAUUAAAUCAUAAUAAAAGUCAUAUUUUAAGUACAAAGAUCAAUAAUUUUUGAGUCUUAAGUAGCACGCUUUGUGGAUUUCUAUUUUGAUGAAAUAAUUUUUGCCCCUUUGUAGGAGAGGAUAAGUUGAUUCUAGACAAAUAACAAAAAAUUUCUUAAAAUGAAUCAAAUUUAACUCAUUUGAAUUCUUAUUUUAAUUAAUGUGAACUAAAAGUUCAAAUGAUCAUUCAUUUUCAAAGGCUUGGACAUUAAUUACUAGAGAUAUUCAUUAAUGUGAAGAAAGUCACAAAGUCAUGUGCCUUAGUUGUAAAUAUUUGAACAUGGAUUGAUGUACAUAUAACUAUGUCAUAGCAAAUUAAUCUAAGAUAUGCCAGCAUAAUAUAUUUGUUAGAUUAAAAGACACAAUUCAUAAGAAGAGGAAAAUACAAGAAAAAAUAGAUAGAAAAAUUUUAUAUUUUAUGGAGACAAAAGCGCUAGUAAUCCCAACUUGAUAAACAAAGAGCCCUUGCUAAGGUGCAAAUUGAAAAGCUUACACCUUAAGAAGUACAAAUUAAGCAAAUAAGCCUCAAAGAGGAAAGAUUUAUUAACGAGCCUUAUAGUUUUUAAAAAUAAUUUAAAACUUAAAAUUAGUGAUUUAGUUAAUACUAUAAAAGUUAUUAACAAAAAUUGCUUCAAAACCAGGCAUAGUUUUUGCAAAUUUUUUCACUUGAUAAAUAGAUCCUAAAUUAAAUAAGACUUAAUAUAUUAGAUUCGUUAGCAAAUUUAUUAAUCUUAAAAAAUAAUUUCAUACUACAAAAGUAUAAUUACCAUUGAAAAUUUACAAAUUAAAAUUGGUCCAAAAUAACUUUGUUGUUACUCUUUUACAUAUCUAUAUUUUUAUAGGUUUUCUUACUAGAAAAAUGAGAUUCGAAAUUAAGUUAAACUUAAUUAUUACUAAGUUAAAUAAUUUUUAAAAAUAAUUUGGAACUAAAAAAUACAUCCAAUCACUAUAAUAAAUAAUAGACCAAAACAUGUACAUAAUAACUUAUGACUUUAUUUUAUGAAGAUGUUAAUAUUCAUAUUUUUAUAAUAUAUAUUAAAAUAAUAUCAUUUUUUUUAUUAAAUAUAUAAAUUAUGAUUUUAUUAUAAUAUUAGUAUUUAUAUUUUACGACAAACUAUUUAUUUUCUAAUUUAUGCAUAAUUACAAAACUAUUUUAUUUUUAAUAAGACUUGAUUUAAUAUUGUAUUUAUUGAAUUUACAAAUUAUUUAUAAAAUCAAAAUAGAAAAAUUAUCUAAAUGAGUUUUUUGCUCUUUGUUUUUUGUUUUCUGAGAAGUGAUUUUAAAAACAGUUGAUUUUCUUGCUACUAAAAAAAAAAAGUAUCAGAAAACAUUUGCAAAGCAUACCCUGAACUUCUUGGAAGCUCUAACUCUUAUUCUCUACUUAACUUGUAACCUUGAAUGAGUUAUAUUACGUUUUCUUCUAAUGUCAUUGCUUCUCAUAUGAAUUGCUCCUCUUUAGAGUUGGGGAUAUCCAAUCAUUGUAAUCAUCCAUUUGGCAAGCCAGUCACGGUGAGCAUCUUUUGAAUCAAUCUAAAAUUUGAUUAUUAAAUCCGACAAAUAAAUAUGUUUUAAGACCAUGAUUAAUAUAAAAGUGGAAUUAUUACAAGCAAUAAUUGAUAGCUAGACAUGUUCAUAAAGGACCCUUGAUUUGGAUAUAUCCACUUAUCCUUAAAAUAAGUCAUCUAUAAUUGACCUCCAUUGUUGAUCAGAUUGAGAGUAUCCUUCCAUUCUAUGUCAUACUAUUUUUUAGGCAGGAAUACAGCAUUAAGAAAAUAUUUUUCCACAACUUUUUAGGCAGGAAUACGUAAUCCUGUUUCCAAACUACCUGUAUAGCGUUUAAAUUUGUUUUAUGAGACAUCAUCUACAUCUCUUUCGAAGUAACAUGGCUCGACUAAAGAAAUCUGCAAAUCUCAUUGCCUUAUUCCAGUCUUUGAACCGUUCUACUUCUCCAAUGAUGUCAUGAGAUUUAGAAGAGAUUUCGUUUACUGAAGGUAUCAAUCACAUGGGUUCAGGGGAUAACCCAAUUCCCAAAAAAUGAAACCAUUGGUAAAGACAAAAUAGGAUGGGGGGGUGGGGGUGGGGGUGGUUGGGUGGGGCAUGAGGAAAAAUCAUAGUUGGGUGGCUGAUCAUCUGCUGCAUUAUUGAAGGGUCGACCUCAAUGAUUAUUACCUUAUCGUUUUUAGUGUGACCUAUUGUGGGUGAGCGUACCAUUUUUGGAAAUUUUAUAGCUUCACAGUCCAAGGCCGAUUGCUAUAUGAAUAGAUCAAGUCUCAAGGUAGGAUUACGCAAAAAAACAACAAUCUCAAGAUAUCACAGCGAGAUACAUGGCUUUGGCAGUUGGUGAGACAUCGACUGAGCUACUUCAUGCUCAUGCUCAUGUCUGGAAUCAUAUAUUCAACUUCAUAAACUCCAUGUCACUGAAAUGUGCUAUUGAACUAGGCAUCCCAGACAUCAUCCACAACCAUGGGAAGCCCAUGACUCUUUCUGAGCUGGUUGCUGAGCUCCCAGUCAACCCAGAGAAGACGAAAUGCGUGUACCGUCUCAUGCGCCUUCUUGUUCAGUCUGGCUUCUUUACCAGGAAAAGAGUCCAAGAAAGCGGGCAAGAAGAGGGGUAUGUGCUUACACAUGCCUCUAGGCUCCUCCUAAAGGACGACCCCUUGAGUGCAAGGCCCUUCUUGCUUGCCAUGCUCGACCCAGUUUUAAUUACACCAUGGCAAUAUGUGAGUGCUUGGUUUCAAAAUGAUGAUCCCACUCCAUUCGACACUGCUCAUGGGCGGACAUUUUGGGAUUAUGCUGGCCAUGAACCCAAGCUCAACAAUUUCUUCAAUGAAGCCAUGGCUAGUGAUGCUCGCUUAGUAACCAGCGUGCUGAUUAAGGACUGCAAGGGCAUAUUUGUGGGGUUGAAUUCAUUAGUUGAUGUAGGGGGUGGCACAGGGACAGUGGCUAGGGCCAUUGCCAAUGCUUUCCCACACUUGAACUGCACCGUGUUAGAUCUCCCCCAUGUGGUUGCUGGCUUGGAAGGGAGUAAGAACUUGAACUACCUUGCAGGGGAUAUGUUUGAAGCAAUUCCUCCUGCAGAUGCUAUUUUACUCAAGGUAUACUGACUUAACCUUUUUGCUAAGAAAGACGAAAAAUAGGAAAGAAGAAAUGUUAAAGAAAUAAUUUAUAUAUAGUUAGUUAUAUAUAGGUUUAUUUUGUCACAUUAUACUCUAUAUUAUCACUGAGAAAGAAACAUAAAAACAAUUAUAAUUGGUCAACAUUGGACAGUAUUACAUACAUAUGAUAAUAUUUAUGGGAUUGUUACAUAAAUUUAGGAAAUUGAAACUUCUAACUGUCUCUUAUGUUGUCGCAAACAACAAGCAGUGGAUAUUGCAUGACUGGAACCAUGACGAAUGUGUGAAGAUACUCAAGCGAUGCAGAGAUGCGAUUCCCAGCAAGGAAAAAGGAGGAAAGGUGAUAAUCAUAGACAUGAUGAUGGAGAACCAGAAAGCAGAUGAUGAGUCCAUCGAAACACAACUCUUUUGGGAUAUGCUGAUGAUGAUUGUGCUAACGGGCCAAGAGAGGAACAUUAAAGACUGGGAGAAGCUCUUCUUUGAUGCUGGUUUCAGUGGCUAUAAGAUAACUCCCAUGCUGGGUUUAAGGUCUCUCAUCGAGGUUUACCCAUGAUCAAUAUAUAUGUUGGUAGUAGUAUGUGCAAAUAUAUUUCCACUAAAUAAACUCUGGUAAGAAUGUUGUAGACCGUAUCAAGUUUGUGUGUGCUUGAAGGAAUAAUGAUCUCUCUCUGAGGCUAUGAAUAAUCUCUGUUAUGUAAUUUGAUAUUUAAGUUCUAUAAUAAAGAAGUAUUAUUUGUUGUCAUAUUGUUUUAUUUUGUAUUAGCUGGUUGUGGAAGUUUGGCAAAUUUCAGCUGCAGAAAAAAACCGUACCAUAUUUGGCUGGCAAGAAUUGGUAUAUAAGUUGCCAUUUGUUUUGAAUCAGACAACUGUGGUCCAACAUAUCAACUAAUGAAUCGCUGAACUUUAUAUAUGUUGUAUAUUUUGUAAACAAGGGUUUAAUGAUUUGUUAAGGACCAAAUUUUACU
RNAcentral lists this long non-coding RNA (10699 nucleotides) under Vitis vinifera (wine grape). RNAcentral describes it as "long non-coding RNA (VVIN_LNC003684)". The record is from RNAcentral. Lineage: Eukaryota; Viridiplantae; Streptophyta; Magnoliopsida; Vitales; Vitaceae.